CCGAGUUUACAACUCCCAAACCCCUGUGAACAUACCUAUACGUUGCCUCGGCGGAUCAGCCCGCGCCCCGUAAAAAGGGACGGCCCGCCCGAGGACCCCUAAACUCUGUUUUUAGUGGAACUUCGGAGUAAAACAAACAAAUAAAUCA
Molecule: unclassified non-coding RNA, 148 nt
Filed under: soil metagenome
Description: partial internal transcribed spacer 1
Source: RNAcentral